RNAcentral lists this ribosomal RNA (1314 nucleotides) under Nocardiopsis sp. DR-R3-2M. RNAcentral describes it as "bacterial SSU rRNA". It matches the Rfam family "Bacterial small subunit ribosomal RNA", at positions 120 to 1432 of the family's 1533-position model. The record is from RNAcentral. Lineage: Bacteria; Bacillati; Actinomycetota; Actinomycetes; Streptosporangiales; Nocardiopsidaceae.
AGCAACCUGCCCCUGACUCUGGGAUAAGCGGUGGAAACGCCGUCUAAUACCGGAUACGACCCGCCACCUCAUGGUGGAGGGUGGAAAGUUUUUCGGUCAGGGAUGGGCUCGCGGCCUAUCAGCUUGUUGGUGGGGUAACGGCCUACCAAGGCGAUUACGGGUAGCCGGCCUGAGAGGGCGACCGGCCACACUGGGACUGAGACACGGCCCAGACUCCUGCGGGAGGCAGCAGUGGGGAAUAUUGCGCAAUGGGCGAAAGCCUGACGCAGCGACGCCGCGUGGGGGAUGACGGCCUUCGGGUUGUAAACCUCUUUUACCACCAACGCAGGCUUCCAGUUCUCUGGAGGUUGACGGUAGGUGGGGAAUAAGGACCGGCUAACUACGUGCCAGCAGCCGCGGUAAUACGUAGGGUCCGAGCGUUGUCCGGAAUUAUUGGGCGUAAAGAGCUCGUAGGCGGCGUGUCGCGUCUGCUGUGAAAGACCGGGGCUUAACUCCGGUUCUGCAGUGGAUACGGGCAUGCUAGAGGUAGGUAGGGGAGACUGGAAUUCCUGGUGUAGCGGUGAAAUGCGCAGAUAUCAGGAGGAACACCGGUGGCGAAGGCGGGUCUCUGGGCCUUACCUGACGCUGAGGAGCGAAAGCAUGGGGAGCGAACAGGAUUAGAUACCCUGGUAGUCCAUGCCGUAAACGUUGGGCGCUAGGUGUGGGGACUUUCCACGGUUUCCGCGCCGUAGCUAACGCAUUAAGCGCCCCGCCUGGGGAGUACGGCCGCAAGGCUAAAACUCAAAGGAAUUUGACGGGGGCCCGCACAAGCGGCGGAGCAUGUUGCUUAAUUCGACGCAACGCGAAGAACCUUACCAAGGUUUGACAUCACCCGUGGACUCGCAGAGAUGUGAGGUCAUUUAGUUGGCGGGUGACAGGUGGUGCAUGGCUGUCGUCAGCUCGUGUCGUGAGAUGUUGGGUUAAGUCCCGCAACGAACGCAACCCUUGUUCCAUGUUGCCAGCACGUAAUGGUGGGGACUCAUGGGAGACUGCCGGGGUCAACUCGGAGGAAGGUGGGGAUGACGUCAAGUCAUCAUGCCCCUUAUGUCUUGGGCUGCAAACAUGCUACAAUGGCCGGUACAAUGGGCGUGCGAUACCGUAAGGUGGAGCGAAUCCCUAAAAGCCGGUCUCAGUUCGGAUUGGGGUCUGCAACUCGACCCCAUGAAGGUGGAGUCGCUAGUAAUCGCGGAUCAGCAACGCCGCGGUGAAUACGUUCCCGGGCCUUGUACACACCGCCCGUCACGUCAUGAAAGUCGGCAACACCCGAAACUUGCG